RNAcentral lists this ribosomal RNA (404 nucleotides) under uncultured Alphaproteobacteria bacterium. RNAcentral's name for it is "bacterial SSU rRNA". It matches the Rfam family "Bacterial small subunit ribosomal RNA", at positions 29 to 458 of the family's 1533-position model. The record is from RNAcentral. Lineage: Bacteria; Pseudomonadati; Pseudomonadota; Alphaproteobacteria.
UACGAACGCUGGCGGCAGGCUUAUCACAUGCAAGUCGAACGGGUGUAGCAAUACAUCAGUGGCAGACGGGUGAGUAACACGUGGGAACCUUCCUAGGGGUACGGAACAACUCAGGGAAACUUGAGCUAAUACCGUAUACGUCCGUGAGGAGAAAGAUUUAUCGCCCUUAGACGGGUCCGCGUCGGAUUAGCUAGUUGGUGGGGUAACGGCCUACCAAGGCGACGAUCCGUAGCUGAUCUUAGAGGAUGAUCAGCCACACUGGGACUGAGACACGGCCCAGACUCCUACGGGAGGCAGCAGUGGGGAAUCUUGGACAAUGGGCGCAAGCCUGAUCCAGCCAUGCCGCGUGAGUGAAGAAGGUCUUCGGAUUGUAAAGCUCUUUUGCCAGGGACGAUAAUGACGGU